AUCAAUUUAUACAGGCUUAUUGCCCAGUUUCACAGUUCUAGUGCUAGUCCCACAGUAUUUGCAGUUUUUCUUAAAGUGUUGAUUCCCAGAGUCAUGUAUUUUCCUGCGAACGCAGGUUUUCGGUUUUCCAAAUGGCAGGAGCUACAGGGAAACGUUGACAGGCUCAUACCUAAAGAAUCAUAAAUGAGAAUGUAAACCAAGAAGCUAAGGACAUUCCAGCAACAUAUCCCAGUGGCAACGCUCUAUCUUCAUUCACAUGUCUUAGUAGCCCAGCCCUUAAAUGGGUCACCGGAGCAUCUCUCUCAGGUAUUUACUGUAAAGAAGAAAACCUCCACUGCCCAUAUCCAAACUUCAGAGGAGCAUUUAAAGCAGA
RNAcentral lists this long non-coding RNA (373 nucleotides) under Calidris pugnax (ruff). Its description in RNAcentral is "lncRNA (ENSCPUG00000018763.1)". Lineage: Eukaryota; Metazoa; Chordata; Aves; Charadriiformes; Scolopacidae. The record is from RNAcentral.